CAGUCGCCACGGGAAUACGUAGGGUGCGAGCGUUAAUCGGAAUUACUGGGCGUAAAGCGUGCGCAGGCGGUUCGCUAAGACAGAUGUGAAAUCCCCGGGCUUAGCCUGGGAACUGCAUUUGUGACUGGCGGGCUAGAGUAUGGCAGAGGGGGGUAGAAUUCCACGUGUAGCAGUGGAAUGCGUAGAGAUGUGGAGGAAUACCGAUGGCGAAGGCAGCCCCCUGGGCCAAUACUGACGCUCAUGCACGAAAGCGUGGGGAGCAAACAGGAUUAGAUACCCCUGUAGUCCCUGUCUCUUAUAC
RNAcentral lists this ribosomal RNA (301 nucleotides) under uncultured bacterium. Its description in RNAcentral is "partial 16S ribosomal RNA". It matches the Rfam family "Bacterial small subunit ribosomal RNA", at positions 509 to 807 of the family's 1533-position model. The record is from RNAcentral.